UACGUAGGGCGCAAGCGUUGUCCGGAAUUAUUGGGCGUAAAGAGCUCGUAGGCGGUUUGUCGCGUCUGUCGUGAAAGCCCACGGCUUAACCGUGGGUCUGCGGUGGAUACGGGCAGACUAGAGGCAGGUAGGGGAGAAUGGAAUUCCCGGUGUAGCGGUGAAAUGCGCAGAUAUCGGGAGGAACACCAGUGGCGAAGGCGGUUGCCUGGAGCUUUGCUGACGCUGAGGCGCGAAAGCGUGGGGAGCGAUCCGG
Molecule: ribosomal RNA, 253 nt
Filed under: uncultured bacterium
Lineage: Bacteria
Description: partial 16S ribosomal RNA
Rfam family: Bacterial small subunit ribosomal RNA
Source: RNAcentral